This 966-nucleotide ribosomal RNA is filed under the name Triticum aestivum (bread wheat). RNAcentral's name for it is "partial small subunit ribosomal RNA". Lineage: Eukaryota; Viridiplantae; Streptophyta; Magnoliopsida; Poales; Poaceae. The record is from RNAcentral.
GUAGAAUGGAGACGGAGUAUAUUAGUACCAAUCUUCAAGAACAAGGGGGAUGUUCAGAGUUGUACUAAUUACCAUGGAAUUAAGCUGAUGAGCCAUACAAUGAAGCUAUGGGAGAGAGUCAUUGAGCACCGCUUAAGAAGAAUGACAAGCGUGACCAAAAAUCAGUUUGGUUUCAUGCCUGGGAGGUCGACCAUGGAAGCCAUUUUCUUGGUACGACAACUUAUGGAGAGAUAUAGGGAGCAAAAGAAGGACUUGCAUAUGGUGUUCAUUGACUUGGAGAAGGCCUAUGAUAAGAUACCGCGAAAUGUCAUGUGGUGGGCCUUGGAGAAACACAAAGUCCCAGCAAAGUACAUUACCCUCAUCAAGGACAUGUACGAUAAUGUUGUGACAAGUGUUCGAACAAGUGAUGUCGACACUGAUGACUUCCCGAUUAAGAUAGGACUGCAUCAGGGGUCAGCUUUGAGCCCUUAUCUUUUUGCAUUGGUGAUGGAUGAGGUCACAAGGGAUAUACAAGGAGAUAUCCCAUGGUGUAUGCUCUUUGCGGAUGAUGUGGUGCUAGUUGACGAUAGUCGGACGGGGGCAAAUAGGAAGUUAGAGUUAUGGAGACAAACCUUGGAAUCGAAAGGGUUUAGGCUUAGUAGAACUAAAACCGAGUACAUGAUGUGCGGUUUCAGUACUACUAGGUGUGAGGAGGAGGUUAGCCUUGAUGGCCAGGUGGUACCUCAGAAGGACACCUUUCGGUAUUUGGGGUCAAUGCUGCAGGAGGAUGGGGGUAUUUAUGAAGAUGUGAACCAUCGAAUCAAAGCCGGAUGGAUGAAGUGGCGCCAAGCUUCUGGCAUUCUCUGUGACAAGAGAGUGCCACAAAAGCUAAAAGACAAGUUCUAUAGGACGGCGGUUCGACCCGCAAUGUUGUAUGGCGCUGAGUGUUGGCCGACUAAAAGGCGACAUGUUCAACAGUUAGGUGUG